CCCGCAAGGGCACCGGCGAACGGCUUAGUAACACGUGGAUACAUACCGUAAAGUAGGGCACAGCUCGUCGAAAGACGGGGUAAUUUCCUAUAGUCCCGCAAGGGUAAAGGCGCAAGCCGCUUUAUGAAUGGUCCGCGGCCUAUCAGCUAGUUGGCGGGGUAAUGGCCCACCAAGGCUAUGACGGGUAGGGGGCGUGAGAGCGCGACCCCCAAGAGUGAGACUGCGACACGGCUCAC
Molecule: ribosomal RNA, 236 nt
Filed under: uncultured bacterium
Lineage: Bacteria
Description: partial 16S ribosomal RNA
Rfam family: Bacterial small subunit ribosomal RNA
Source: RNAcentral